GGAACACUCUAGGAAGAAUGGAGCUGUUCUAAUGGAGGAUAACUUGCUCUUCAGAUGAAAGUAUUUCUUGCUCAUCUCAUACAAAAUGAGUGUUAACAGUGCAAGCAGCCAACUUUUGUUCUCGUGUGCAUCAGGAGCUCAAGUGACUCCACUGAAACUCUGGCAUUUAUCACAGACAAAAUUAGGUCAGAAGAGAGCACAGAGGUAUGGAACGGAAAAGAGAUAAAUUCAUCCUUAGGAAAAAAAAAAGUCUCGAGCUGCAAACUUGGGCUUAAUUUGUCUCCUCCACGUAAGACGGAUCUAACAACGCAGUCUGGGCUCCGUGCCAAAGGCUGGUAUUUCACAGCAGCGACCGCCUUACAGAUGAGCUGUGGGAAGCAGGAGGGAGACUCUCUUAGGGUGCCACUACUAUGGAGACACAGCUGGGCUGAACAAGAUUUGCUUCAAACGACAACAAGAGAGACAGAAAGUGUCUGGUUCGACCGCUGCCCAAGCAGGCAGUAACCAGAAGAGCUAGCAGCCAAUCCGGCCAUGCUGCACUGUUCGAAACCAGCUCUACAUCCCAGCCAAUCAGUGACAUCACUGGUGAGAAACUCAUUUACAUCAUGCAGUAAUGAACUUUGUUUAACGUAUCCUUUUUUCUUUUCUUUUUUUUUUUUUUUUUUCCUCACAGAGAUUAGGUCCU
RNAcentral lists this long non-coding RNA (685 nucleotides) under Calidris pygmaea (Spoon-billed sandpiper). RNAcentral describes it as "lncRNA (ENSCPGG00000016454.1)". Lineage: Eukaryota; Metazoa; Chordata; Aves; Charadriiformes; Scolopacidae. The record is from RNAcentral.